AACGAACGCUGGCGGCAUGCCUAACACAUGCAAGUCGAACGAGACCUUCGGGUCUAGUGGCGCACGGGUGCGUAACGCGUGGGAACCUGCCCUUAGGUUCGGAAUAACUCCCCGAAAGGGGUGCUAAUACCGGAUAAUGUCUUCGGACCAAAGAUUUAUCGCCUUUGGAUGGGCCCGCGUUGGAUUAGCUAGUUGGUAGGGUAAAAGCCUACCAAGGCGACGAUCCAUAGCUGGUCUGAGAGGACGAUCAGCCACACUGGGACUGAGACACGGCCCAGACUCCUACGGGAGGCAGCAGUGGGGAAUAUUGGACAAUGGGCGAAAGCCUGAUCCAGCAAUGCCGCGUGAGUGGUGAAGGCCUUAGGGUUGUAAAGCUCUUUUACCCGGGAUGAUAAUGACAGUACCGGGAGAAUAAGCUCCGGCUAACUCCGUG
This 433-nucleotide ribosomal RNA is filed under the name uncultured bacterium. RNAcentral's name for it is "partial 16S ribosomal RNA". It matches the Rfam family "Bacterial small subunit ribosomal RNA", at positions 29 to 507 of the family's 1533-position model. The record is from RNAcentral.